Long non-coding RNA from Apis dorsata (giant honeybee), 372 nucleotides. RefSeq lists it as uncharacterized. Lineage: Eukaryota; Metazoa; Arthropoda; Insecta; Hymenoptera; Apidae. The record is from RefSeq and is a predicted model, not a curated record. The transcript has 2 exons.
UCUGUUCACAGAAUAUAAUAAAUAUUGAAGUGUGAAAUAACUGGAUCUAUACUCUGAAGAAAAUUCCACAUGCAAAAGAAAAAUUCUUGCUUAUGUAAAAACUAUAAAGAUCACAAUACAAUAUAACUUGGCCAAAUAUAAACUAUAUGAAAUAAAAAAGAAACGACACAAUUUGGAAACAAAUCUACUCUCUACAAAAUCUAUACAGAAAAUGAAGAACAAAAUUUGAAGAAUCUAAAGUUAAAACAAAGGAAGAUCCUAUUAUUUCACAUAACAAUUAAAAAAGAACAACAUCUAUUGCUCAAAACUCAUUUCCAUUCUUCUAAAAAGUUCCUUCAUAAAAAGAAAAAACAAAAAAAAACUAGAAAAACA